CGGGGUGCAGCAGUGGGGAAUAUUGGACAAUGGGCGAAAGCCUGAUCCAGCAAUGCCGCGUGUGUGAAGAAGGCCUUCGGGUUGUAAAGCACUUUCAGUAGGGAAGAAUGGCCUAAGGUUAAUAUCCUUAGGAAGUGACAUUACCUACAGAAGAAGCACUGGCUAACUCUGUGCCAGCAGCCGCGGUAAUACAGAGAGUGCAAGCGUUAAUCGGAAUUACUGGGCGUAAAGCGCACGUAGGUGGGUACUUAAGUCGAAUGUGAAAGCCCCGGGCUUAACCUGGGAAUGGCAUCCGAUACUGGGUAUCUAGAGUAUGGUAGAGGGAAGUGGAAUUUCCGGUGUAGCGGUGAAAUGCGUAGAUAUCGGAAAGAACACCAGUGGCGAAGGCGGCUUCCUGGACUAAUACUGACACUGAGGUGCGAAAGCGUGGGGAGCAAACAGGAUUAGAUACCCUUGU
This 457-nucleotide ribosomal RNA is filed under the name uncultured Coxiellaceae bacterium. RNAcentral's name for it is "bacterial SSU rRNA". It matches the Rfam family "Bacterial small subunit ribosomal RNA", at positions 342 to 791 of the family's 1533-position model. Lineage: Bacteria; Pseudomonadati; Pseudomonadota; Gammaproteobacteria; Legionellales; Coxiellaceae. The record is from RNAcentral.